This 72-nucleotide ribosomal RNA is filed under the name Klebsiella planticola. RNAcentral's name for it is "partial 16S ribosomal RNA". It matches the Rfam family "Bacterial small subunit ribosomal RNA", at positions 1464 to 1533 of the family's 1533-position model. Lineage: Bacteria; Pseudomonadati; Pseudomonadota; Gammaproteobacteria; Enterobacterales; Enterobacteriaceae. RNAcentral also lists the same sequence under 1 other name. The record is from RNAcentral.
GUGAUUCAUGACUGGGGUGAAGUCGUAACAAGGUAACCGUAGGGGAACCUGCGGUUGGAUCACCUCCUUACC